UCCCUUAAAGCAAUUUUUAAAAAUUGUGUUUUAUUUCCUUUUUUUAUUUUAAUAUUUUUUAUUAAGGGCUAUGAAAAUAUCCAGAAAGAUAAAUGAAUGUGAUGCAAUGAUAUAUGUCCUAAUAUGAAAAACUUUCAGUACAUUGUUUUCCUUCACAGUGGCCUUCAAAUCACAGGAGGCAGUGGUUCCCUGCCAUUUCUUCUAUUACACGCUGCAGAAUUUCUGAAUCAUUUUCCUGAGGAAUAAAGAAGAAAUUCUGCAUCAAGACUACAGCAUCAGCUCCCGUCUGAGAGUUUCUAGUUUGCCAGUCUGUCCUAUGGAUUUCAGACUUGCCAGCCCCCACAAUUAUGUAAGCCAAUUUCUUGGAAUGAAUGUCUUUAUACACACACACGCACAUACAUACACACACACAUCCUACUGGUGCUAUUUCUCCGGAAGACACUGACUGAUACAUUGGGAAAGCCCAUGUGGCUUGCAGCCAGCAGCCAGCAAGAAGCGGGCCCCUCGGUACUGUACCCUGGAGGAAAUGAAUUUUGCCAACAAUCUGAUCGAAUUUGGAAACAGGCUCUUCUCCAGUGAAACCUCCAGAUGAGAAAACAAUUCAGCAGACAUCUUGACUGCUGUCUUGUGAGACCAUGGCCCAAUAAACCAUGUUUGGACUUCUAACCCAUAGGAACUAUAAGAUAAUAAAUGUGUGUUGUUGUUGUUGUU
Long non-coding RNA from Leopardus geoffroyi (Geoffroy's cat), 711 nucleotides. RefSeq lists it as uncharacterized. The record is from RefSeq and is a predicted model, not a curated record. The transcript has 2 exons. Lineage: Eukaryota; Metazoa; Chordata; Mammalia; Carnivora; Felidae.